Molecule: ribosomal RNA, 360 nt
Filed under: Amaricoccus sp. HAR-UPW-R2A-40
Lineage: Bacteria; Pseudomonadati; Pseudomonadota; Alphaproteobacteria; Rhodobacterales; Paracoccaceae
Description: Bacterial large subunit ribosomal RNA
Rfam family: Bacterial large subunit ribosomal RNA
Source: Rfam by way of RNAcentral
GGGGUGCAAGCUCCGAACUGAAGCCCCAGUAAACGGCGGCCGUAACUAUAACGGUCCUAAGGUAGCGAAAUUCCUUGUCGGGUAAGUUCCGACCUGCACCGAAUGGCGUAAACGACUUCCCCGCUGUCUCCAACGCAGACUCAGCGAAAUUGAAUUCCCCGUGAAGAUGCGGGUUCCCGCGGUCAGACGGAAAGACCCCGUGCACCUUUACUACAGCUUCACACUGGCAUCAGGCCAGGCAUGUGCAGGAUAGGUGGCAGGCUUUGAAACAGGGACGCCAGUUCCUGCGGAGCCGUCCUUGAGAUAUCACCCUUGCCUUGCCUGAUGUCUAACCGCGGACCGUCAUCCGGUUCCGGGACC